Mustela erminea (ermine) is the source of this 529-nucleotide long non-coding RNA. RefSeq lists it as uncharacterized. Lineage: Eukaryota; Metazoa; Chordata; Mammalia; Carnivora; Mustelidae. The record is from RefSeq and is a predicted model, not a curated record. The transcript is spliced from 3 exons.
CAGAGGCAAGAGCAGCAGGAGACCGAGUUAGUGAUCUUAUAAUCACAUCCAUUUACUCCAGUGUGCUCUAUACAAAUACCACUUUUUUUUUUUUUAAUGUAUUCCCUUGACAUUAAAGAGCUGGAAAUCACUGAGAAAAAUGUCAAGAAAAUUUAAAAGCCACUGAGGUGGAGGAACCAGCCAGUUAGAAGGCCUCAUGGACUGGAGAGAGCUUUGUGAGUCAUAGGGAGAAAGGCGGCCAGCAUGGCGGAAGUGCGCACUGGGGAAGAGAUGUAUAAAAUGAGUAGGUGUCACAGUGUUUGGAGAACCAGAUGAAAAAGUCCAAGUUAUCUCUGAAAGUUUCUGUCUUACUUAUGUUGACCUGCACUUUGGAACUGUGUGGAUUCCUCCUAUCACGGGAUCAAUAUCUCGAUAAACAACAAACUUCCCGAAAAGAAAGUUUCAACCUCAAAUCAUGUGUAACUAAAGCUGGACAAAAACCCUCGGGACAAGGUAAAUGGAAAGUGAGUUGGCAACACAACUCACCUAC